GACGAACGCUGGCGGCGUGCUUAACACAUGCAAGUCGAACGGAAAGGCCCUGCUUUUGUGGGGUGCUCGAGUGGCGAACGGGUGAGUAACACGUGAGUAACCUGCCCUUGACUUUGGGAUAACUUCAGGAAACUGGGGCUAAUACCGGAUAGGAGCCCCUGCUGCAUGGUGGGGGUUGGAAAGUUUCGGCGGUUGGGGAUGGACUCGCGGCUUAUCAGCUUGUUGGUGGGGUAGUGGCUUACCAAGGCUUUGACGGGUAGCCGGCCUGAGAGGGUGACCGGCCACAUUGGGACUGAGAGACGGCCCAGACUCCUACGGGAGGAAGCAGUGGGGAAUAUUGCACAAUGGGAGGAAGCCUGAUGAAGCAACGCCGCGUGCGGGAUGACGGCCUUCGGGUUGUAAAAAGCUUUCGCCUGUGAAGAAGAGUGAGUGACGGUAAUGGGUAAAGAAGAACCGGCUAACUACGUG
This 468-nucleotide ribosomal RNA is filed under the name uncultured bacterium. Its description in RNAcentral is "partial 16S ribosomal RNA". It matches the Rfam family "Bacterial small subunit ribosomal RNA", at positions 28 to 507 of the family's 1533-position model. The record is from RNAcentral.